ACUCACAAGAUGCUCCAAAAACUGUGUAAGCAGUCGCAGUCGGUUCCUUUUUUCACAUUCAGCCACAAGGGGCUCAACAGGAAGCAGAGAACGAACAGAAAGGAUCAAGCCUUUAAUGAAAUCCUCUGGACACUCGUCAUCUAAAAGCUGCCCCACAACUAAAGGAGCAUUUCCUGGAUUGACCUUUUGAACAUAACCCUCAAUAUAUCGUAGCAUAUUGUUAGUGUACAGAUAGUGUGUGAGAUCAGGAACAAAACCAAAGCGGUCGCAAACAUUGAUCAGAGGUCGGGCAUCAGGAAGUUUGGCUUCCAUCAAGAAGUUCUUUGUCUUUUCAGGGUCGUAGAAGUUAGAUUCUCUUGUCACGCGCUCAACCUCCUUGAUUUGUCCAGUCCUGGCAGCUGCUUCGAUAUACUUAAAGUGGAUAUCAGGAUCCUCACUCGAACUCAAAUAUGAUCCCAAGAAGAAGUACAACCCAUCGUACGACUUGAACUGCUCAAAAAGCUUAAUGCAGGCAUCAAUACCCAACUGCUCACAGUACUCCUUUGCAACCUGAACUAUUAUUUGAAGGUUGCCUUUGAUAUUGAUCACCAGAAGGUCCUUCAUGCACUCAAGCGCCCAUUCACGUGAGACAGUCCCAAAGAACUCAACCAGAGCCUGAGGCUCAAUGGCAUGUGUAUUAACAAUUACGCGCUUGAUAUCAGGUAGUUCACUGUAGUGCUGCAAAGCCCGAAUAUAAAGACCAGCUUUUUCACAAAGCUGAGCAAUUCGUGGUCGAUCAUAAUGACUGAACAUUCCAUUGGCUAAUAUAGCAUCAGCAACAUUUGGGAAAGUCACAAGGUUGAUUUCCAAGACCUUAGUCUGCAGGUAACCAUGCUCUGGAAGGUUAGGCUUCAGAACAUCCAACAAAAAUGCUGUUGCCUCACGGAUCAUGUUCCUCUGAAGAAAUAGGUCGGUGAUUGUAUUGUAAUCAACAGGACACCCUCCCUCCAUUUGAGACAUCAUGAGUGCAAAAUUAACAGCACCCUGAGGAUCGGAUCGAAGAAUUGUUUGCAGCAGGAACAAAUAGUCAGGAGUAUAUCCAACCUGCUUUGAGUAUAUCAGAAUCUUGUCAAACUCCCUGCGCUCAGCAAAAGCGGCAACAACUUUUGGUGUUGCUCUUGCUUUGAUGUAGAUCUUCAAGGCAAGGUCAUUAUCAACAGUCUUCACAAGGUCGCCAAGUUCCUCACUACACUCUAGCUUAUCUUCAGCCAACCAAUUCUCUAAGAGGUUCUUCUUAUUCUGGUUGACAACAAGUCGUGAAAGUUCCAAAGACUCGAAUGCAUUGAGCUUCCCUUUAGUCAAGAGUGUACCAAAGUACUGCAACAGAGGAGGUGUUUGCCCUGCUUGAACAGGAACACUCUGAAAUUUAGCAACAGUAUCCGGUGUACGGAGUAUGCCUUGGGGGGAUUCUGCAGCAAGCUCAGCAGCCUCUUUGUACUUGGUUUGAGCAAACAAAUCUUGAAAGCGCUGGACAACCAAAUUCUCAGCACCAGGAAGGUUUCCUCUUUUG
This 1549-nucleotide unclassified non-coding RNA is filed under the name Hevea brasiliensis (rubber tree). Lineage: Eukaryota; Viridiplantae; Streptophyta; Magnoliopsida; Malpighiales; Euphorbiaceae. The record is from RNAcentral.